GCUGAACCAGGUCUGGUGACUUGCUGCAAUCCUAGCUCUGAGAGCUGAGCCACUCAGUUAGACCCUAUCUCAAAAAACAGGAAUAAAUCCUGUACUGAAUCAAUACAAUAGUCUAAUCUAUAGUGAAAAGAGAUAGUUUAAAGUAAAGACCACCUGGAAGUGCUGGUGAGUACUUUAUUUCAAGUAAAUAUUUAAUAAAACUUGGUUUUGUGAUUUUUUUUUUCCUAAGUCAUAUUUAACUGAGGCUACUAGAUUUGCCUCUGGUAAGGAUUUACAGAGGACCAGAGACUUAGAUAAGAGCUGGAACUCAAAGCCUGGAUUCUGUCAGUAGCCCGGUAUGGCCAUAUGCGUACCUGAUUUUCUGUAACACAGGAAAAUCUGAAAUUCAGUGCCAGCCUGGACUACAUAGAUAAGAUCCUGUCUCAAAAAAAAACAAAAAACAAAAAAUCUAUUUUUGUAGCAAAGAUGGAUACUGUAAUAAACAAUUGAUUUGACAAGAUUUGUUCAAAGGUUCUGACAUGUUUUCAAACACAGCAGAGAUUGUUCCCGGUGGACAUGAUAUUCUGGGUACAUCAUCUGUCAUCCAGUUGUUUGCUAGGGUAAAUCUGUGUUUGUGGUGGGUGCCUUCCCUCACCUCUCCAUUUGUAUGUGUCUCUCCUGAAGCAUCUGUUCUGAAGAGAACAACUUUCUCAACAGAUUGUUCUGCUACCAGUUUUAGUGUAAAGUUCUUAGAAUUCAGUGUAGGGAGGGGCUGGAGAGAGCACUGUGGUUAGGGCAUAGGCUGCUCUUGUGGAUUUGAUUCCUAGCACCCAGUGGUGAUGCAGAGCCAUCCAGAACUCCAGGGCCAGUGGAGCUGUGCCUGCUCUGCCCUCCUCAGGCAUCGUGCACGGAUGUAUAUUCAUACAGGCAAAGCAUUCAGACACAUACGGUGAAAAGUUAAAAAGGUUCAGAAGGGAGCUGGGCGUGGUGGCGCAUGCCUUUAGUCCCAGCACUCGGGAGGCAGAGGCAGGCGGAUUUCUGAGUUUGAGGACAGCCAGGGCUACACAGAGAAACCCUGUCUCGAAAACC
Molecule: long non-coding RNA, 1068 nt
Filed under: Mus musculus (house mouse)
Lineage: Eukaryota; Metazoa; Chordata; Mammalia; Rodentia; Muridae
Description: long non-coding RNA chr14:34313421-34314489
Source: RNAcentral